CAGCCGCCGCGGUAAUACAGAGGAUGCAAGCGUUAUCCGGAAUGAUUGGGCAUAAAGUGUCUGUAGGUGGCUUUUCAAGUCCGCCGUCAAAUCCCAGGGCUCAACCUUGGACAGGCGGUGGAAACUACCAAGCUGGAGGACGGUAGGGGCAGAGGGAAUUUCCGGUGGAGCGAUGAAAUGCGUUGAGAUCGGAAAGAACACCAACAGCGAAAGCACUCUGUUGGGCCGACACUGACACUGAGAGACGAAAGUUAGGGGAGCAAAUGGGAUUAGAUACCCCCGUAGUCCCUGUCUCUUAUAA
This 301-nucleotide ribosomal RNA is filed under the name uncultured bacterium. RNAcentral describes it as "partial 16S ribosomal RNA". It matches the Rfam family "Bacterial small subunit ribosomal RNA", at positions 509 to 808 of the family's 1533-position model. The record is from RNAcentral.